RNAcentral lists this ribosomal RNA (468 nucleotides) under uncultured bacterium. RNAcentral describes it as "partial 16S ribosomal RNA". It matches the Rfam family "Bacterial small subunit ribosomal RNA", at positions 28 to 507 of the family's 1533-position model. The record is from RNAcentral.
GACGAACGCUGGCGGCGUGCUUAACACAUGCAAGUCGAACGGAAAGGCCCUGCUUUUGUGGGGUGCUCGAGUGGCGAACGGGUGAGUAACACGUGAGUAACCUGCCCUUGACUUUGGGAUAACUUCAGGAAACUGGGGCUAAUACCGGAUAUGAGCUCCUGCUGCAUGGUGGGGGUUGGAAAGUUUCGGCGGUUGGGGAUGGACUCGCGGCUUAUCAGCUUGUUGGUGGGGUAGUGGCUUACCAAGGCUUUGACGGGUAGCCGGCCUGAGAGGGUGACCGGGCACAUGGGGACUGAGAUACGGCCCAGACGGCUACGGGAGGCAGCAGUGGGGAAUAUUGCACAAUGGGCGGAAGCCUGAGGCAGAAACGCCGCGUGCGGGAUGACGGCCUUCGGGUUGUAAACCGCUUUCGCAUGUGACGAAGAGUGAGUGACGGUAAUGGGUAAAGAAGCACCGGCUAACUACGUG